RNAcentral lists this ribosomal RNA (253 nucleotides) under uncultured bacterium. RNAcentral describes it as "partial 16S ribosomal RNA". It matches the Rfam family "Bacterial small subunit ribosomal RNA", at positions 524 to 776 of the family's 1533-position model. The record is from RNAcentral.
UACGUAGGGUGCGAGCGUUAAUCGGAAUUACUGGGCGUAAAGCGUGCGCAGGCGGUUCUGAAAGUCAGCUGUGAAAGCCCCGGGCUUAACCUGGGAAUGGCGGUUGAAACUACAGGACUAGAAUCUGGCAGAGGGGGGUGGAAUUCCACGUGUAGCAGUGAAAUGCGUAGAGAUGUGGAGGAACACCGAUGGCAAAGGCGGCCCCCUGGGCUGAGAUUGACGCUCAGGCACGAAAGCGUGGGGAGCAAACAGG